UACGUAGGGGGCUAGCGUUGUCCGGAAUCAUUGGGCGUAAAGCGCGCGUAGGCGGCCCGGUAAGUCCGCUGUAAAAGUCCAGGGCUCAACCCUGGAACGCCGGUGGAUACUGUCGGGCUAGAGUCCGGAAGAGGCGAGUGGAAUUCCUGGUGUAGCGGUGAAAUGCGCAGAUAUCAGGAAGAACACCUAUGGCGAAAGCAGCUCUCUGGGACGGUACUGACGCUGAGACGCGAAAGCGUGGGGAGCGAACAGG
RNAcentral lists this ribosomal RNA (253 nucleotides) under uncultured bacterium. RNAcentral's name for it is "partial 16S ribosomal RNA". It matches the Rfam family "Bacterial small subunit ribosomal RNA", at positions 524 to 776 of the family's 1533-position model. The record is from RNAcentral.